This 468-nucleotide ribosomal RNA is filed under the name uncultured bacterium. RNAcentral describes it as "partial 16S ribosomal RNA". It matches the Rfam family "Bacterial small subunit ribosomal RNA", at positions 28 to 507 of the family's 1533-position model. The record is from RNAcentral.
GACGAACGCUGGCGGCGUGCUUAACACAUGCAAGUCGAACGGAAAGGCCCUGCUUUUGUGGGGUGCUCGAGUGGCGAACGGGUGAGUAACACGUGAGUAACCUGCCCUUGACUUUGGGAUAACUUCAGGAAACUGGGGCUCAUACCGGAUAGGAGCUCCUGCUGCAUGUUGGGGGUUGGAAAGUUUCGGCGGUUGGGGCUGGACUCGCGGCUUAUCAGCUUGUUGGUGGGGUAGUGGCUUACCAAGGCUUUGACGGGUAGCCGGCCUGAGAGGGUGACCGGCCACAUUGGGACUGAGAUACGGACCAGACUCCUACGGGAGGCAGCAGUGGGGAAUAUUGCACAAUGGGCGGAAGCCUGAUGCAGCAACGCCGCGUGCGGGAUGACGGCCUUCGGGUUGUAAACCGCUUUCGCCUGUGACGAAGCGUGAGUGACGGUAAUGGGUAAAGAAGCACCGGCUAACUACGUG